This 348-nucleotide unclassified non-coding RNA is filed under the name soil metagenome. RNAcentral describes it as "partial contains 5.8S ribosomal RNA, internal transcribed spacer 2, and large subunit ribosomal RNA". The stretch from base 1 to 120 matches the Rfam family "5.8S ribosomal RNA", at positions 35 to 154 of the family's 154-position model. The record is from RNAcentral.
GAUGAAGAACGCAGCGAAAUGCGAAAAGUAAUGUGAAUUGCAGAAUUCAGUGAAUCAUCGAAUCUUUGAACGCACAUUGCGCCCGCCAGUAUUCUGGCGGGCAUGCCUGUCCGAGCGUCAUUUCAACCCUCAUGCCCCUAGGGCGUGGUGUUGGGGAUCGGCCAGCGCCCGCGAGGGACGGCCGGCCCCUAAAUCUAGUGGCGGACCCGUCGUGGCCUCCCCUGCGAAGUAGUGAUAUUCCGCAUAGGAGAGCGACGAGCCCCUGCCGUUAAACCCCCAACUUUCUAAGGUUGACCUCAGAUCAGGUAGGAAUACCCGCUGAACUUAAGCAUAUCAAUAAGCGGAGGA